Molecule: non-coding RNA, 45 nt
Organism: Schistosoma mansoni
Lineage: Eukaryota; Metazoa; Platyhelminthes; Trematoda; Strigeidida; Schistosomatidae
Source: Rfam
AUCCAGCUUAUGGGUCCCAAAUCGGACGAAACGCGCGUCCUGGAU